AGAGUUUGAUCAUGGCUCAGAUUGAACGCUGGCGGCAUGCCUUACACAUGCAAGUCGAACGGCAGCAUGAUCUAGCUUGCUAGAUUGAUGGCGAGUGGCGAACGGGUGAGUAAUACAUCGGAACGUGCCCUGUAGUGGGGGAUAACUAGUCGAAAGAUUAGCUAAUACCGCAUACGACCUGAGGGUGAAAGUGGGGGACCGCAAGGCCUCAUGCUAUAGGAGCGGCCGAUGUCUGAUUAGCUAGUUGGUGAGGUAAAGGCUCACCAAGGCGACGAUCAGUAGCUGGUCUGAGAGGACGAUCAGCCACACUGGGACUGAGACACGGCCCAGACUCCUACGGGAGGCAGCAGUGGGGAAUUUUGGACAAUGGGCGAAAGCCUGAUCCAGCAAUGCCGCGUGUGUGAAGAAGGCCUUCGGGUUGUAAAGCACUUUUGUCCGGAAAGAAAUGGCUCUGGUUAAUACCUGGGGUCGAUGACGGUACCGGAAGAAUAAGGACCGGCUAACUACGUGCCAGCAGCCGCGGUAAUACGUAGGGUCCAAGCGUUAAUCGGAAUUACUGGGCGUAAAGCGUGCGCAGGCGGUUGUGCAAGACCGAUGUGAAAUCCCCGAGCUUAACUUGGGAAUUGCAUUGGUGACUGCACGGCUAGAGUGUGUCAGAGGGGGGUAGAAUUCCACGUGUAGCAGUGAAAUGCGUAGAGAUGUGGAGGAAUACCGAUGGCGAAGGCAGCCCC
Molecule: ribosomal RNA, 731 nt
Filed under: uncultured bacterium
Lineage: Bacteria
Description: bacterial SSU rRNA
Rfam family: Bacterial small subunit ribosomal RNA
Source: RNAcentral